Molecule: ribosomal RNA, 226 nt
Filed under: uncultured bacterium
Lineage: Bacteria
Description: partial 16S ribosomal RNA
Rfam family: Bacterial small subunit ribosomal RNA
Source: RNAcentral
GCGUUGUCCGGAAUUAUUGGGCGUAAAGCGCGCGCAGGCGGCCUUUUAAGUCUGAUGUGAAAGCCCACGGCUCAACCGUGGAAGGUCAUUGGAAACUGGAAGGCUUGAGUACAGAAGAGGAAAGCGGAAUUCCACGUGUAGCGGUGAAAUGCGUAGAGAUGUGGAGGAACACCUGUGGCGAAGGCGGCUUUCUGGUCUGUAACUGACGCUGAGGCGCGAAAGCGUG